CCUGCGGAAGGAUCAUUACCGAGUGCGGGCCCCUCGGGGCCCAACCUCCCACCCGUGUUGCCCGAACCUAUGUUGCCUCGGCGGGCCCCGCGCCCGCCGACGGCCCCCCUGAACGCUGUCUGAAGUUGCAGUCUGAGACCUAUAACGAAAUUAGUUAAAACUUUCAACAACGGAUCUCUUGGUUCCGGCAUCGAUGAAGAACGCAGCGAAAUGCGAUAACUAAUGUGAAUUGCAGAAUUCAGUGAAUCAUCGAGUCUUUGAACGCACAUUGCGCCCUCUGGUAUUCCGGAGGGCAUGCCUGUCCGAGCGUCAUUGCUGCCCUCAAGCCCGGCUUGUGUGUUGGGCCCCGUCCCCCCCGCCGGGGGGACGGGCCCGAAAGGCAGCGGCGGCACCGCGUCCGGUCCUCGAGCGUAUGGGGCUUCGUCACCCGCUCUAGUAGGCCCGGCCGGCGCCAGCCGACCCCCAACCUUUAAUUAUCUCAGG
RNAcentral lists this ribosomal RNA (483 nucleotides) under Penicillium citrinum. Its description in RNAcentral is "eukaryotic LSU rRNA". The stretch from base 159 to 312 matches the Rfam family "5.8S ribosomal RNA". The record is from RNAcentral. Lineage: Eukaryota; Fungi; Ascomycota; Eurotiomycetes; Eurotiales; Aspergillaceae.